AUUUUCACUACCUAUACAGGACUUCUAAAAUCUGGCUAAAUGGCUAGCCAGUUGUUUCACCAAACAUCACGAAUACACGCGAAUCUCCCUGGAAAAACUACUAUCAUAACGACUCGACUGUUUUGGGUUGGAUUGACAAAAGUGCGAUGAAAGCCUGGUCUCGGUGGCGCAGCGGUUCUUAAUCCCAACCACAAGCAGACACGCAGCAUCAGUUUGGGACGUCAACUCGCCUCUAGUGGCGGCAGCUAGAUGAUCCUCUGCACCCUCUUCUGGUCAUACAGCGGUCGGCUCCCAACCUGAUGGUUGCUGGUUCGAGCUUCAGUUGGGCCGUGGGGGUAUGCUGGACCCUAUCCCAGCUGACUUCGGGCGACAGGCGGGGUACACCCUGGACUGGUCGCCAGCCAAUUGCAGGGCACGUAUAGACAAACAACCAUUCACACUCACAUUCAUACCUAUGGACAAUUUAGAGUCUCCAAUUAACCUAACAUGCAUGUUUUUGGAAUGUGGGAGGAAACCGGAGUACCCGGAGAAAACCCACGCACGCACCGGGGGAACAUGCAAACUCCACACCAUGAUGCCCAAGCCAAGAUUUGAACCCAGCUCUUCCCGAUCUCCUGUUCCCUAUUUCUGCAAGUGCAUGUGGGAGGAAACUGGAGUACCCGGAGAAAACCCACACACGCACGGGGAGAACAUGCAAACUCCACACAGAACUGCCCAACGGAGAUUGGAACCUACUGUAGGUCUUCCCGACCUCCUGACUGUGACUGUGUGGCCAUCAUGCCAACCACUAGACCACCAUGCGGCCCGCGCCCUGAAAUGUGUAACAGAAAUGUGUUUUUCUACAUUUAUUUGUUAUGGUUGCUAUUAUUUAAUACUGAAUUGAAAAAUCCACCUUUCGUUAUGUGUUGCCUUGACUUCGGUUGUGUUGUCUUUUUGAUAAUUGUUUUGCAUAUUUUAUGAUUGAAAUGUUUAAUAGCAAACUGGAUGUGUGCAUGCACUGUGAAAAUAAUGAACGCUAUGUAGUUUGAUUGAAAUAUUAUUCACACUAUAAACAGAACUAUUAACGAAUUAUUAUCUUUAUCGUCAUGUUGAAUUCAAUUGUAAAUUAUUAUUUGCUUAUUAUUUCUUUUAUUGUUAUUUUUACAAGGUGCUGUUUGUUUUAUAUGGUUCCAACUUCUAAGUAUGCACAGCAAGAAAUGAGGCAGGUACCGUAUAGCUACACCACAUACAUUUCAUUUAGGUUAAAAACUGUACUUGGAAGUUGAAACAAAUGUUUGU
This is a long non-coding RNA of Dunckerocampus dactyliophorus (ringed pipefish), 1278 nucleotides long. RefSeq lists it as uncharacterized. The record is from RefSeq and is a predicted model, not a curated record. Lineage: Eukaryota; Metazoa; Chordata; Actinopteri; Syngnathiformes; Syngnathidae. The transcript is spliced from 5 exons.